UACGAAGGGGGCUAGCGUUGUUCGGAAUUACUGGGCGUAAAGCGCACGUAGGCGGAUUUGUAAGUAGGGGGUGAAAUCCCCGGGCUCAACCCGGGAACUGCCUUCUAGACUGCAAGUCUCGAGAUCAGGAGAGGCAAGCGGAAUUCCGAGUGUAGAGGUGAAAUUCGUAGAUAUUCGGAGGAACACCAGUGGCGAAGGCGGCUUGCUGGACUGAUACUGACGCUGAGGUGCGAAAGCGUGGGGAGCAAACAGG
Molecule: ribosomal RNA, 253 nt
Filed under: uncultured bacterium
Lineage: Bacteria
Description: partial 16S ribosomal RNA
Rfam family: Bacterial small subunit ribosomal RNA
Source: RNAcentral